This 253-nucleotide ribosomal RNA is filed under the name uncultured bacterium. Its description in RNAcentral is "partial 16S ribosomal RNA". It matches the Rfam family "Bacterial small subunit ribosomal RNA", at positions 524 to 776 of the family's 1533-position model. The record is from RNAcentral.
UACGGGUGAGGCAAGCGUUGUUCGGAAUCACUGGGCUUAAAGCGCGUGUAGGCGGCAUGGUAAGUACCUUGUGAAAACCCUCGGCUCAACCGGGGAACUGCUUGGUAUACUGCCGUGCUCGAGGAAGGCAGAGGUGCCUGGAACUCUAGGUGGAGCGGUGAAAUGCGUAGAUAUCUAGAGGAACGCCCGUGGCGAAAGCGGGGCACUGGGCCUUUCCUGACGCUGAGACGCGAAAGCGUGGGGAGCAAACGGG